RNAcentral lists this ribosomal RNA (252 nucleotides) under uncultured bacterium. RNAcentral's name for it is "partial 16S ribosomal RNA". It matches the Rfam family "Bacterial small subunit ribosomal RNA", at positions 524 to 776 of the family's 1533-position model. The record is from RNAcentral.
GACGAACCGAGCGAACGUUGUUCGGAAUCACUGGGCUUAAAGGGCGCGUAGGCGGGCCAUCAAGUCGAGGGUGAAGCCCCCAGCUCAACUGGGGAAGUGCCUCCGAUACUGGUGGUCUCGAGGGAGAUAGGGGCGUGCGGAACUUCCGGUGGAGCGGUGAAAUGCGUAGAUAUCGGAAGGAACACCGGUGGCGAAAGCGGCGCGCUGGAUCUCUUCUGACGCUGAGGCGCGAAAGCCAGGGGAGCGAACGGG